AUUGAACGCUGGCGGCAGGCCUAACACAUGCAAGUCGAGCGGAUGAAGGGAGCUUGCUCCUGGAUUCAGCGGCGGACGGGUGAGUGAUGCCUAGGAAUCUGCCUGUCUGCUGGGGAUAACGUCCGGAAAAAGGGAGACAUACGCUAAUACCUCAUACGGCCUAAGGGGGGGAUCCUUGGAACUUCGGCCCUUGCGCGAUUCAAUGUGCGGAUGUCGGAUUAGCUAGUUGGAGGGGUAAAGGCCCACCAAGGCGACGAUCCGUAGCUGGUCUGAGAGGAUGAUCAGUCACACUGGAACUGAGACACGGUCCAGACUCCUACGGGAGGCAGCAGUGGGGAAUAUUGGACAAUGGGCGAAAGCCUGAUCCAGCCAUGCCGCGUGUGUGAAGAAGGUCUUCGGAUUGUAAAGCACUUUUGGUGGGGAGGAAGGGCAGUAAGUUAAUACCUUGCUGUUCUGACGGUACCCACAGAAUAAGCACCGGCUAACUUCGUG
This 492-nucleotide ribosomal RNA is filed under the name uncultured bacterium. RNAcentral describes it as "partial 16S ribosomal RNA". It matches the Rfam family "Bacterial small subunit ribosomal RNA", at positions 30 to 507 of the family's 1533-position model. The record is from RNAcentral.